UAAUUGAAUUAUGAGGGCCGGUCUUUCCUGUGUUAUUCUUAUGAUGGUGAAUAAGUCUCACGAGAUCUGAUGAUCUAAAAAUGGGAAGUUCUCUG
Molecule: long non-coding RNA, 95 nt
Organism: Sapajus apella (tufted capuchin)
Lineage: Eukaryota; Metazoa; Chordata; Mammalia; Primates; Cebidae
Exons: 3
Source: RefSeq, a predicted model, not a curated record